RNAcentral lists this long non-coding RNA (1100 nucleotides) under Felis catus (domestic cat). RNAcentral describes it as "lncRNA (ENSFCAG00000041682.2)". The record is from RNAcentral. Lineage: Eukaryota; Metazoa; Chordata; Mammalia; Carnivora; Felidae.
GGCAGAUGCUAAACUUUUCUGGGUGGACGACUUUGUGCGAGAGUAGCGGUUGAGAAGGUCAUGGCUCAACAUCGGAUCUUGUGUGAUGACGGGUGUGUGUAGGCGUGCACGUGUGUGUGUUUCCAUGUAUGUGUGAGAAUGUGCAUGCGUGUGUGCACGUGUGCGGGUAGGGUGUGUGGCACGGUGUGUGGCACAGGGCUUUUAGAGGGAGGGUCUAAGGCCAGCCGGCCCUGGGGUGACGUCUCAGUUCGUCCUCCCCAUCUGGAUGACCCACAGCAGCCACUUCUAAUGUUUGGGCCCGCGUGGCCUCAUGUGCCCCAGCGACGUAAUAUAGAAGCUAUGUCACGGAGUAAUCGGAAGGAGGUACGUAGUAAGUUAUUACAUCUACACUAGGGAAAGUGGCUAGAGCAGCGCCCAUGACACGAUGCAUGAAGGUAACCGUUGGGCAUUUUUCCUGCGAGUGCUGUUCACAUCGGUGACGUUAGGCCCGGGGGAGGGUUUCUCCUGGAAACCAGUUAGCCUCUGCUGUUUCGGUUUCUCCGUGCACACGCCGGGGACCGCACAGGCACCCACCUCAUGGGGGCGCUCAGAGGAUUAAGCGCUCAAUUCACACGGCCUGGGGGUAGUGGUUGAGAACGGGGACUGGAGCCAGCUAGCCAAGGCAUGACAUCCCCAUGACCAGUGGCUGUCCCUGCGACCUCAGGCACCCCCCUCAACCUCUCGGAGCUUCUGAGUUUUCAUCUUCGAUAUGGAGACAGAGUGUCCAUUUCAUGGGGUCUUUGGGAGGGCGGUACCUAAUGCCAAGAACGGCUCACGGGCUGCUGCUGUUCCAGACAUUUCCAUGAACACACACUGGGAUCCACACGCUUCUCUGUCUGCCUCUUUAGUCUUAGUGGCUAAGAUCAUUCCAAGGACACUCACCUCCCCGGCUUCCUUCCGUCUUCAACCUUCAAUCAACCAAAUCUGCUUUGCCCUCUCACCCUGUGCAUCAAGGGAACGUUUUCAGUCCUGUUUGGCCAUUGUGGAUAAUUUUCUGCUGAAACCUGCCUCUGUUAAUCCAGACGCUCCAGAUUAUAUAUGAAAAUAAAAACAUAGAGGUG